GCUUAACGCGAAGAACCUUACCAGGGCUUGAAUGCAUUAUGACAGGGGUGGAGACACCUUUUCCUUCGGGCAUUUUGCAAGGUGCUGCAUGGUUGUCGUCAGCUCGUGCCGUGAGGUGUCAGGUUAGGUCCUAUAACGAGCGCAACCCCUACCGUUAGUUGCCAGCGGGUCAUGCCGGGGACUCUAGCGGGACUGCCGGUGCAAACCGUGAGGAAGGUGGGGAUGACGUCAAAUCAUCACGGCCCUUACGUCCUGGGCCACACACGUGCUACAAUGGCCGGUACAGAGAGCGGCCACGCCGCAAGGCGGAGCGAAUCUACAAAACCGGUCACAGUUCGGAUCGGGGUCUGCAACCCGACCCCGUGAAGCUGGAAUCGCUAGUAAUCGGAUAUCAGCCAUGAUCCGGUGAAUACGUUCCCGGGUCUUGUACACACCG
Molecule: ribosomal RNA, 436 nt
Filed under: uncultured bacterium
Lineage: Bacteria
Description: bacterial SSU rRNA
Rfam family: Bacterial small subunit ribosomal RNA
Source: RNAcentral